This 417-nucleotide ribosomal RNA is filed under the name Ligilactobacillus agilis. Its description in RNAcentral is "bacterial SSU rRNA". It matches the Rfam family "Bacterial small subunit ribosomal RNA", at positions 376 to 786 of the family's 1533-position model. The record is from RNAcentral. Lineage: Bacteria; Bacillati; Bacillota; Bacilli; Lactobacillales; Lactobacillaceae.
UAGCAGCCUGAUGGAGCACGCCGCGUGAGUGAAGAAGGUCUUCGGAUCGUAAAACUCUGUUGUUAGAGAAGAACAUGCAGGAGAGUAACUGUUCUUGUAUUGACGGUAUCUAACCAGAAAGCCACGGCUAACUACGUGCCAGCAGCCGCGGUAAUACGUAGGUGGCAAGCGUUGUCCGGAUUUAUUGGGCGUAAAGGGAACGCAGGCGGUCCUUUAAGUCUGAUGUGAAAGCCUUCGGCUUAACCGAAGAAUUGCAUUGGAAACUGGAGGACUUGAGUGCAGAAGAGGAGAGUGGAACUCCAUGUGUAGCGGUGAAAUGCGUAGAUAUAUGGAAGAACACCAGUGGCGAAAGCGGCUCUCUGGUCUGUAACUGACGCUGAGGUUCGAAAGUGUGGGUAGCAAACAGGAUUAGAUACC